Long non-coding RNA from Prunus persica (peach), 1581 nucleotides. RefSeq lists it as uncharacterized. The transcript has 2 exons. NCBI's taxonomy places the organism in Eukaryota, Viridiplantae, Streptophyta, Magnoliopsida, Rosales, Rosaceae. The record is from RefSeq and is a predicted model, not a curated record.
CAUGGGGCAAAGGAUUAUGCAUGACAGAUUAGUCCAUGGAUCAAAAAAGAAAAAUUGAUCUGGUCACUUAUGUUUCCCAACAUAAAGUCAAUUAGUGAUUACUGGAAUAUAUGUCUCUGAGACAUUUGAUUAAUAUUGUAGAGAUUGGAACCUAAAAUUUUAAAAUCUUAUAUAGUUGAUGUCAUGUUUAUUUACCUAUCAUCACAUUUGGUGUUGAAUUGAUCAGAUCUGGUAUGGUUCAAGCAAAACUUUCUGUACUCAGCUUGAUUAGAUUAGCCUUCCUGUGAUUAAAUAUAUGCCUUACUAUUAAAACUAAAUUAGCUCUAAAAAUAAUUACUUAGUUUUUGUUUAUUUUGUUAAGAGCAUAAUUAGGAAGGAAACUAGUAAGGAGGGUGAGGAUGACACAACACAACUGCAAGCACUUUCAGAACUUUUGAUCACAUGGGCUGCUCUAACUUCAUGAAGUCCUUCAGAGAGUGGAAGAAUCUCAUAUGCUAGGAAAGAGCGCUUUCAAGGCUCGGAUAAGGAGGAAAAAAAUCUAGCAGCAGAAUGAGCCCUGGCCCCAACAAAAUCCCUGAAAAGCAGCCCUUGAUGGAUGUUCACAGCAUAAUCCUCAGGAUAUGCCAUUUGUGCUUACUGGUUUAUUCCAUAUCUUGGAGUCUUUGAGCCCCUAUAUAACUUGUGCCGGUCCAUCAUUGAAACACAAGCAGGAGCAUGUAUACAUACUAGAAGAAGUACUUGUCAAAUAAGCAAAGCAGUCAUAGGGCUCCUCUUUCUUGGCAGGCACUGGUGAGUGAUGCAUCUACAAAUGUACAAUAAUUUUCAUUGACCUGCCAAGAAAGAGUUGCCCUACGAUUGCUUUGGCUUAAUUAUAUUUGCAGCCUGUCUGAUCAUGCAGUAGAGCCCUAUCAUGCAAAACAUAGGCUAGCCAAGGAUAUACGUAGGUUUUGUCAUAUUUGAAAAUAAUGGUAGAGGUAGAGCUAUAAUACUGAAGUAAUUUUUGUUGUACAAAGUUGUUCUGCUUUGUGACUAAGCAAGGGAAAUAGUGUGAUUUUAUAUAGGUGGAAUGGAAGGUGGAAGCCAUAUAUACAAGCAAUUACUAAUUUCCCUGAUCCCUUUUGUCAGUCGUGGCCAUAUAGCUUUAUCUGAGAGGAUGUUCUUGCUGUGUGCUUAUAGUUUGGUUUGGGAUACAUAAUUGUGAUCAUAGUUAGAUCUAUUUAAUAUUAUUAUUUUAACCGUAUCUACCUUUCCCUAACCAAUGACCAGAAGCAAACCAUUUUGAUCCUAAUCGUAAUAUGGAAUUUGUGAUUCCAUCUGAAGUAUUUGUUUAUUUGUUUCAUUUUCUUCAUGUCUGUUCUGUGUUUUCAACUUUUGAAACUUUACCAGCCGAAGAGGUUAUGCCUGUUCUUCAUAUGUUCUUACAAAGUCUGAAUUCAGUCCCCGCCAGCUGAAGAGGUUAUGCUAAUAUUUUAUUUUGCUUUUUUUUUUUUUUUAAUCAAGUCAUCCCACACUUUCUUUUCUAUUUUUUCUGUCUUCUUUCUCUGGAUAAACCCAUAACUUAUUACUAGUCUACAUACUCAA